CGUAGGGAGCAAGCGUUGUCCGGAAUCAUUGGGCGUAAAGCGCGCGUAGGCGGCCCGAUAAGUCCGUUGUGAAAGUCAAAGGCUCAACCUUUGAAUGCCGAUGGAUACUGUCGGGCUAGAGUCCGGAAGAGGCGAGUGGAAUUCCUGGUGUAGCGGUGGAAUGCGCAGAUAUCAGGAGGAACACCAAUAGCGAAGGCAGCUCGCUGGGACGGUACUGACGCUAAGGCGCGAAAGCGUGGGAGCGAACAGGAUU
Molecule: ribosomal RNA, 253 nt
Filed under: uncultured bacterium
Lineage: Bacteria
Description: partial 16S ribosomal RNA
Rfam family: Bacterial small subunit ribosomal RNA
Source: RNAcentral